Molecule: ribosomal RNA, 253 nt
Filed under: uncultured bacterium
Lineage: Bacteria
Description: partial 16S ribosomal RNA
Rfam family: Bacterial small subunit ribosomal RNA
Source: RNAcentral
UACAGAGGGUGCAAUCGUUGUUCGGAAUCAUUGGGCGUAAAGGGCGUGUAGGCGGUUUGUUAAGUCAUGUGUGAAAUCCCUCGGCUCAACCGGGGAACGACGCAUGAAACUGACAAGCUAGAGUACCAAAGAGGGGGGUGGAAUCCCCGGUGUAGCGGUGAAAUGCGUAGAUAUCGGGAGGAACACCAGUGGCGAAGGCGGCCCCCUGGUUGGAUACUGACGCUGAGACGCGAAAGCGUGGGGAGCAAACAGG